Molecule: long non-coding RNA, 1258 nt
Filed under: Amphibalanus amphitrite
Lineage: Eukaryota; Metazoa; Arthropoda; Thecostraca; Balanomorpha; Balanidae
Description: uncharacterized LOC122390538, transcript variant X1
Source: RNAcentral
GGUUUACUAACGGGAGAUGUGAUGAAUUUCAGCAGCAAUACUUGGAAUAUAAAGAAGAAGUGAAGCAAUUAUGAUACCUAUUAUUUUUUAUAAUGACAGAAGGAACGUGGAAGAAAAAACAUUUUGUGCAGCAUGUGAAAACAAGGAAAUAGAAUGAAAGAAGGACUGCUACUUUUCAUGCGCCCGAAACCAGCCACCUCAUCAUCAUAGCAUGUUGCAUUGGAGCUCUGCUGGAGUUUGCUGAUGACAGGAUGCUGAAGGGCUGAAGCUGGUAGCUCUGGCAGGAGUCCAGUGUCCACCAGCUCAAGAUCCGACGCCGCCGCGUCGCCGCCGUGCGGCACUCCGCGGAGACGGGGACGGCGGUCAUGAUUGAAGACACCGCAUUUCCCGCCUGGACUGUCCGGUCGGAGACUGAUAAUCCCUCCGGUGAGCCGCACACCGUGGAGCUACUGCACCGCGCGUGUCCACCCGCAGUGCAGUGCCAGCAACGGUGCCGUGAGUGCGACAUCUGCGUGCAUAUGACGCAGUGCGACUGUCACGACUCGCGGCUCAGUGUUAACUGUCAGUGUGACAGUGCGGCUCGCGCUCGUUUUAGCGAGGUGCUCUGUUGUAUAUAACCACCUUGAUGGAGACCUAUGUGCUGCCGCUUGAGUUUCAAUGUACAGUUUAUGCAUCAAACUAGCGUAAGUAAAUGGCUGUCAGAGGUCAAUUUGAAGCGCAAUUAGUACCCAUAACCCAGCUGGGUUGACCGUGUCAUGUGACUAGUCCCGAUGAACGUACUGUUUCGAUGUCGUCAGUCGUAGACUUUUGUAAACCAUUCGUUUCGGAGCUCUGUGUUGUGUUGUUCGGGAUCGCAGUUGUUUGAGCAGUAUGCUUUAUGCGUCGUACGCUGACAGAACGCUGGUCGUACACAAGUCAUGUGUUUCCUUUCGCCCCUAAUGGGUUACUGCACGGUACCUAUGCAGUUGGAAUGUAUCUCGAGACACUAACUGGUCGCACUUGGUUGUGAAAAUGACACUAGCUGGUCGCACUUGGUUUCAAGCUGCGCUUGGAAAUGGUGCAAUAUUAUUUGCAUUUUGCAAUGCAAUUUUAUUGCCGUAACCGUAUUGGUAGAUAGUGUCAGAAGUUGGCCAUUUGAUGCGUUGUCACUUGUCAGACGCUGUUGCCUUAGUACUGACAAAUUGAUGGGCCGCGUUUGUGUUCCUGUUAAGAAACGGAUCUCAAUAUAAGGUGAUUCAGAGGUAGGAACCUGAAUGCA